RNAcentral lists this unclassified non-coding RNA (370 nucleotides) under Zea mays. Its description in RNAcentral is "misc RNA Zm00001eb411470". Lineage: Eukaryota; Viridiplantae; Streptophyta; Magnoliopsida; Poales; Poaceae. The record is from RNAcentral.
UGCUCGCCGAGCUUCUUCCAGCCGCGCCGUCGCCUUGCUGCUCGCCCGUCCGCGCGCCACUUCGUCCCUGGCCACCGUCCGCCGUCGAGUCCAUACGCGCGAGCCCCUCUCCCUAGCACUUCCCCGCCGGAGUGCUCGCCCCCGACCCCGCCCGUCGCGCCCGCCGGAGAGCGCGCCCCUGGCCCCGCCCGUCGCGCCCGCCAGAGCUCCCACCCCCGACCUCGCCUACCCCGGCCGCCGCGCCCGAUGGAGCGCCCGCCCUCGUCCCCGCCCGCAGCGCCCCUCACCGCCCUACCCCGCCGGCGCCCCCGCCGGCCCGCCCAUUGAUGCCUCCGCCCCGCCCGGUCUACGCCCAAACGCCCGCGACCCG